Molecule: long non-coding RNA, 217 nt
Organism: Hibiscus syriacus
Lineage: Eukaryota; Viridiplantae; Streptophyta; Magnoliopsida; Malvales; Malvaceae
Exons: 3
Source: RefSeq, a predicted model, not a curated record
GGAGAUCAGUGAAGAAUCUCGUUCUUAAUGAUGAUGGUAUUGAAUUGCUUCACGAAAACAGAAUUUCAGGCAUUUAUCAAUCUUCUAAAGAAACUGAAAGGCUUAAGCGGCUCAAAAAGGCUGGAAAAGGCACUGAGGUGGUUGAUCUGUCUGGUUUUUCUGAUGAUGAGGGUCUGCUAUUUGAUGAUUUAUGCGGAGAAGAGGGAGCUUCAUUUGG